GUGGGGGGAGGUGGGGGGCGGGUGGCAGAGAGAAGCCACAGUCUCUCCUGACGGUGGGCGGGCGGCCAGAGCGUCCCGUCACGCCGCCUAGACUUCGGAGAACCGGUGACCGCUAGGUGACGCCCGAUGACAACAUAUGCAAGUGUCAGCCCGGCACCCUCCCAGGCAUUUCCCCCACAACUAAUGGAGCGGAGACCCUGAGGGGGAAGGAAGCACCGUGACUCGGCAAUACGCGCAGAAACACACGCACCUACGUACGUGCGUAGGUACGUACGUACGCACGCACGCACGCACGCACGGACGUACCCACGCACGCACUCACACGCACGGCGUAUCCCACAGAAUAGCAGAGUGUAUACCGUGAUAGCGAGAGGGCCCACGCCAUUUUCUUCUCUAGUAACAAAAGAAAAAGCAGGCCGAGGCCCGGCGGCCCACGCCCCUCACCCCAGCACUCCGCUCAUCAUCAGGCCGCAAGAAUAAGCAGCCCGACCCGACCCGACCCUCCCGCUGGGUCCGGGAGCAAUUGCACUCCAGCCCGGGCGACAGAGCGAGCGAGCGAGCGGAACCUCUGUCGCAGAAGAAAACAAUUAAAAAGAAGGAAGAUAGAUAGAUCAUCAGCCGGCCGUUUUGUGUCGUGCUGCGUCCUGGCACCCGCCCGGGCCGGUAGGCCCAGCUCCUCAGGGGCUGAGUCAGGGGAGCAUCUCUCUAAGCCCACCAGUCAGUUCAAGGUCACAGUGACCUACGUACGAUCGGCCUGGGCGACACAGGGAGACCCCAUCUCUAAAAAAGUACAUGGAAGCGUGGACGGUCGUAGAAGACAUACAAGGAGGUGGCGGAGCACGGGAAGGCUCCGCUCGUUCCUGAAGACCAGAGCACAGCCGGGUGCGGUGGCUCAAGCCUGUCGUCCCAGCACUUUGGGAGGCCGAGGCGGGUGGAUCACGAGGUCGAGAGAUCGAGACCAACCUGGUCAACGGGGUGAAACCCCGUCUCUGCUAAACAUA
Molecule: non-coding RNA, 1001 nt
Organism: Callithrix jacchus (white-tufted-ear marmoset)
Lineage: Eukaryota; Metazoa; Chordata; Mammalia; Primates; Cebidae
Source: RefSeq, a predicted model, not a curated record